CCUACGGGAGGCUGCAGUGGGGAAUAUUGGGCAAUGGGCGCAAGCCUGACCCAGCAACGCCGCGUGAAGGAAGAAGGCUUUCGGGUUGUAAACUUCUUUUAUCAGGGACGAAGCAAGUGACGGUACCUGAUGAAUAAGCCACGGCUAACUACGUGCCAGCAGCCGCGGUAAUACGUAGGUGGCAAGCGUUAUCCGGAUUUACUGGGUGUAAAGGGCGUGUAGGCGGGAGUGCAAGUCAGAUGUGAAAAUUAUGGGCUCAACCGAUAGCCUGCAUUUGAAACUGUACUUCUUGAGUGCUGGGGAGGCAAGCGGAAUUCGUGGUGUAGCGGUGAAAUGCGUAGAUAUACGGAAGAACACCAGUGGCGAAGGCGGACUGCUAAACAGUCACUGACGCUGAGGCGCGAAAGCGUGGGUAGCAAACAGGAUUAGAUACCCGGGUAGUC
This 443-nucleotide ribosomal RNA is filed under the name uncultured bacterium. Its description in RNAcentral is "partial 16S ribosomal RNA". It matches the Rfam family "Bacterial small subunit ribosomal RNA", at positions 338 to 795 of the family's 1533-position model. The record is from RNAcentral.